GUGCCAGCAGCCGCGGUAAUACAGAGGGUGCAAACGUUGCUCGGAAUCAUUGGGCGUAAAGCGCACGUAGGCGGUCCGAUAAGCGGGGAGUGAAAGCCCUCGGCUUAACCGAGGAAGUGCUUUCCGAACUGUCGGACUUGAGUACGCAAGAGGAUCGCGGAAUUCCCGGUGUAGAGGUGAAAUUCGUAGAUAUCGGGAGGAACACCAGCGGCGAAGGCGGCGAUCUGGGGCGAUACUGACGCUGAGGUGCGAAAGCGUGGGGAGCAAACAGGAUUAGAAACCCCUGUAGUCC
This 292-nucleotide ribosomal RNA is filed under the name uncultured bacterium. Its description in RNAcentral is "partial 16S ribosomal RNA". It matches the Rfam family "Bacterial small subunit ribosomal RNA", at positions 505 to 796 of the family's 1533-position model. The record is from RNAcentral.